GACGAACGCUGGCGGCGUGCUUAACACGUGCAAGUCGAACGGAAAGGCCCUGCUUUUGUGGGGUGCUCGAGUGGCGAACGGGUGAGUAACACGUGAGUAACCUGCCCUUGACUUUGGGAUAACUUCAGGAAACUGGGGCUAAUACCGGAUAGGAGCUCCUGCUGCAUGGUGGGGGUUGGAAAGUUUCGGCGGUUGGGGAUGGACUCGCGGCUUAUCAGCUUGUUGGUGGGGUAGUGGCUUACCAAGGCUUUGACGGGUAGCCGGCCUGAGAGGGUGACCGGCCACAUUGGGACUGAGAUACGGCCCAGACUCCUACGGGAGGCAGCAGUGGGGAAUAUUGCACAAUGGGCGGAAGCCUGAUGCAGCAACGCCGCGUGCGGGAUGACGGCCUUCGGGUUGUAAACCGCUUUCGCCUGUGACGAAGCGUGAGUGACGGUAAUGGGUAAAGAAGCACCGGCUAACUACGUGCCAGCAGCCGCGGUGAUACGUAGGGUGCGAGCGUUGUCCGGAUUUAUUGGGCGUAAAGGGCUCGUAGGUGGUUGAUCGCGUCGGAAGUGUAAUCUUGGGGCUUAACCCUGAGCGUGCUUUCGAUACGGGUUGACUUGAGGAAGGUAGGGGAGAAUGGAAUUCCUGGUGGAGCGGUGGAAUGCGCAGAUAUCAGGAGGAACACCAGUGGCGAAGGCGGUUCUCUGGGCCUUUCCUGACGCUGAGGAGCGAAAGCGUGGGGAGCGAACAGGCUUAGACACCCUGGUAGUCCACGCUGUAAACGGUGGGUACUAGGUGUGGGGUCCAUUCCACGGGUUCCGUGCCGUAGCUAACGCUUUAAGUACCCCGCCUGGGGAGUACGGCCGCAAGGCUAAAACUCAAAGGAAUUGACGGGGCCCCGCACAAGCGGCGGAGCAUGCGGAUUAAUUCGAUGCAACGCGUAGAACCUUACCUGGGUUUGACAUGGAUCGGGAGCGCUCAGAGAUGGGUGUGCCUCUUUUGGGGUCGGUUCACAGGUGGUGCAUGGCUGUCGUCAGCUCGUGUCGUGAGAUGUUGGGUUAAGUCCCGCAACGAGCGCAACCCUUGUUCACUGUUGCCAGCACGUUAUGGUGGGGACUCAGUGGAGACCGCCGGGGUCAACUCGGAGGAAGGUGGGGAUGACGUCAAGUCAUCAUGCCCCUUAUGUCCAGGGCUUCACGCAUGCUACAAUGGCUGGUACAGAGAGUGGCGAGCCUGUGAGGGUGAGCGAAUCUCGGAAAGCCGGUCUCAGUUCGGAUUGGGGUCUGCAACUCGACCUCAUGAAGUCGGAGUCGCUAGUAAUCGCAGAUCAGCAACGCUGCGGUGAAUACGUUCCCGGGGCU
This 1346-nucleotide ribosomal RNA is filed under the name uncultured bacterium. RNAcentral describes it as "bacterial SSU rRNA". It matches the Rfam family "Bacterial small subunit ribosomal RNA", at positions 28 to 1381 of the family's 1533-position model. The record is from RNAcentral.